CCUUCGCAGGAUCAGAGUCAGCCCUCUUCUUCUAUCCAGAGGGGUCAGCCAUCAGGUCUUGAGCCGGGUCAUGUUUAUGCUUUGACUCGUGAGGAGGCACAGCGAGCUGGAGGAUCUGUUAUCCGAGAUCCGAGCUCGAGUGGAGCACGGUGACCUGCCGAUACUCGGAGAUUUUUGCUGUAUAUAAGUUUUGCAGACACAGGGAUCCUUUUGAUAUUACUGUUGAUUUUGGACUUUC
Molecule: long non-coding RNA, 238 nt
Organism: Zingiber officinale
Lineage: Eukaryota; Viridiplantae; Streptophyta; Magnoliopsida; Zingiberales; Zingiberaceae
Exons: 3
Source: RefSeq, a predicted model, not a curated record